RNAcentral lists this ribosomal RNA (550 nucleotides) under uncultured bacterium. Its description in RNAcentral is "partial 16S ribosomal RNA". It matches the Rfam family "Bacterial small subunit ribosomal RNA", at positions 355 to 912 of the family's 1533-position model. The record is from RNAcentral.
UGGGGAAUAUUGCACAAUGGGCGAAAGCCUGAUGCAGCGACGCCGCGUGAGGGAUGACGGCCUUCGGGUUGUAAACCUCUUUCAGCAGGGAAGAAGCGAAAGUGACGGUACCUGCAGAAGAAGCGCCGGCUAACUACGUGCCAGCAGCCGCGGUAAUACGUAGGGCGCAAGCGUUGUCCGGAAUUAUUGGGCGUAAAGAGCUCGUAGGCGGUUAGUCGCGUCUGCUGUGAAAACUCGAGGCUCAACCUCGGGCUUGCAGUGGGUACGGGCUGACUAGAGUGCGGUAGGGGUGACUGGAAUUCCUGGUGUAGCGGUGGAAUGCGCAGAUAUCAGGAGGAACACCGAUGGCGAAGGCAGGUCACUGGGCCGCAACUGACGCUGAGGAGCGAAAAGCAUGGGGAGCGAACAGGAUUAGAUACCCUGGUAGUCCAUGCCGUAAACGUUGGGCACUAGGUGUGGGGUCCAUUCCACGGAUUCCGUGCCGCAGCAAACGCAUUAAGUGCCCCGCCUGGGGAGUACGGCCGCAAGGCUAAAAACUCAAAAUGAAUUG